This 77-nucleotide transfer RNA is filed under the name Variovorax beijingensis. Lineage: Bacteria; Pseudomonadati; Pseudomonadota; Betaproteobacteria; Burkholderiales; Comamonadaceae. The record is from RNAcentral.
CCAGCCGCAGCGCAGUCAGACAGCGCGUGCGCCUCCGAAGCGCAAGGUCGUUGGGGCGGAUCCAACCGGCUGGUCCA